Molecule: ribosomal RNA, 497 nt
Filed under: uncultured bacterium
Lineage: Bacteria
Description: partial 16S ribosomal RNA
Rfam family: Bacterial small subunit ribosomal RNA
Source: RNAcentral
GAUGAACGCUGGCGGCGUGCCUAAUACAUGCAAGUAGAACGCUGAAGGAAGGAGCUUGCUCUUUCCGGAUGAGUUGCGAACGGGUGAGUAACGCGUAGGUAACCUGCCUGGUAGCGGGGGAUAACUAUUGGAAACGAUAGCUAAUACCGCAUAACAGUAGAUGUUGCAUGAUAUCUACUUAAAAGGUGCAAUUGCACCACUACCAGAUGGACCUGCGUUGUAUUAGCUAGUUGGUGAGGUAACGGCUCACCAAGGCGACGAUACAUAGCCGACCUGAGAGGGUGAUCGGCCACACUGGGACUGAGACACGGCCCAGACUCCUACGGGAGGCAGCAGUAGGGAAUCUUCGGCAAUGGACGGAGGUCUGACCGAGCAACGCUGCGUGAGUGAAGAAGGGUUUCGGAUCGUAAAGCUCUGUUGUAAGAGAAGAACGAGUGUGAGAGUGGAAAGUUCACACUGUGACGGUAUCUUACCAGAAAGGGACGGCUAACUACGUG